UUGACACAAGUGGGGAGAAAGCCUGAUGAAAGGGACCCCCGCGCGAGGGAUGAGGGCCUUAGGGUGGUAAAACCUUCUUUGAGCAGGGAAAAGUGAAAGUGAGGGUACUUGCAGAAGAAGCGGCAGGAUAAGUACGAGGGCAGCAGGCUGCGGUAAUAGGUAGGGUGCAAGAGUUGUCCGGAAUUAUUGGGCGUAAAGAGAAUUGUAGGUCGGCCUUGUCAGGAUCGGUUGUGAAAGCCGGGGGCUUAACCCCGGGUGUGCAGUCGAUAGGGGCAGGCUAGAGUUGGGUAGGGGAGAUCUGGAAUUCCUGGUGUAGCGGUGAAAUGCGCAGAUAUCAGGAGGAACACCGGUGGCGAAGGCGAUCUCUGGGCCGAUACUGACGCUGAGGAGCGAAAGCGUGGGGAGCGAACAGGAUUAGAUACCCCUGGUAGUCCACGCCCCGUAAACCGGUGGGCACCUAGGGUGUGGGCAACAUUCCACGGUUGUCCGUGCCGCAGCUAACGCAUUAAGUGCCCCGCCUGGGGAGUACGG
RNAcentral lists this ribosomal RNA (531 nucleotides) under Streptomyces chattanoogensis. Its description in RNAcentral is "bacterial SSU rRNA". It matches the Rfam family "Bacterial small subunit ribosomal RNA", at positions 359 to 885 of the family's 1533-position model. The record is from RNAcentral. Lineage: Bacteria; Bacillati; Actinomycetota; Actinomycetes; Kitasatosporales; Streptomycetaceae.